UACGUAGGGGGCAAACGUUAUCCGGAUUCACUGGGUGUAAAGGGAGCGUAGACGGCCAUGCAAGCCUGGAGUGAAAGCCCGGGGCCCAACCCCGGGACUGCUCUGGGAACUGUGCGGCUGGAGUGCGGGAGGGGCAGGCGGAAUUCCUGGUGUAGCGGUGAAAUGCGUAGAUAUCAGGAGGAACACCGGUGGCGAAGGCGGCCUGCUGGACUGCAACUGACGUUGAGGCCCGAAAGCGUGGGGAGCAAACAGG
This 253-nucleotide ribosomal RNA is filed under the name uncultured bacterium. RNAcentral describes it as "partial 16S ribosomal RNA". It matches the Rfam family "Bacterial small subunit ribosomal RNA", at positions 524 to 776 of the family's 1533-position model. The record is from RNAcentral.